UGCCGGGAUUGUAUCCUGAAGAAAAUAGGUGAGGAGGGGAUCGAAUCCUGCCCCGUAUGCAACGCUGCUCUUGGGAUUGCUCCUGAAGAGAAACUCAGGGAUGAUCCAAAAAUUCAGGCUAUCAGGGACCAUGCGUUUCCACCUAAAGCAGAAGUUGAUGCUUCUGAGGCUCCAAGUACUACACUGCCAGCAAAGAUAAAAGAGAGGUCCAUUUCUUCCUUGGUUGAAACCCAGAAGAUGGCAACACAACCUAGUCUGACAGGACAGAGAGCUGCAAGAAGGAAAUUCAUGUCCCAUUUGUUUUCUGUCGGUAAAUUGCCAAAUAAAUCGGAAGGCUAUAAUCAGAAGACUGAGAUGGCCUCAGCACCAAAAUCAACCAAGGUGCCAACAUCUGCAAACAAAAAGAAGAAUAGUGCAGAUAUUUCUGAAGAUGGAAAGAAUCACGAGACGAUUGACAAUGAAGAGCUUCAUAAGCCCUUACGGAGCUUAGUCGUGGCAAGCGCGAAGAAGUCACAAACAUUAUGUUAUCUGGGGGAAAGUCGGAAAAACAAAACAACCACAGAGGAUAGUCUGAGGGAAAGCCCAGAAGCAGACUCGGAUGAUGGAAUAACUACCCCAGUCUGGUUUUCACUAGUGACUUCACUGAACCAGGCAGAAGCUAAACGGCUGCCUCAGAUAAAAAAUAAUUUCUACAGAAUUAAGUGA
Molecule: ribosomal RNA, 705 nt
Filed under: Triticum aestivum (bread wheat)
Lineage: Eukaryota; Viridiplantae; Streptophyta; Magnoliopsida; Poales; Poaceae
Description: partial small subunit ribosomal RNA
Source: RNAcentral